This 2829-nucleotide long non-coding RNA is filed under the name Linum usitatissimum (flax). Its description in RNAcentral is "long non-coding RNA (LUSI_LNC006096)". Lineage: Eukaryota; Viridiplantae; Streptophyta; Magnoliopsida; Malpighiales; Linaceae. The record is from RNAcentral.
CGAAACCGUUGAGCCUUACGCCGGCAUUGGGAUCGGCCACACAGAAAUCCUGGAGAUUGGAAGGAUCCAUGGCAAAGGUGAGACUUGCACAAACAGCAAAAGUUACCAAGGUGAAGAAAGCAGCAAGAUGUGCCAUUGGUUGAAUAACAGAGGGAGUAUGUAUGAACUUUCGGGUGUUAUAGUUUCAAGUGAGGGAUGCUAAGAUUGCGAUUGUAUGGUGUGGUGGGUUGUUGCAUUGGGAGUGAAGAUCAGGUUUAUAUAGGAAGCAAGUUGAGGAAAAGUCCAAAUCAAAGGGUUCAUUACAUUAGUUUAUUUGAUGACGACUCCAUGAGAGACGGUUUCAAAGGUCUUUGGGUUUUCCCAGCCAUUUACAAUAUGAAACGCGUUUUGUUUACCCAGUUCCAGCAAUAAUUUCCUUGACUGUGUCCAUUCAUUAGACGGUGUACAAAGUUACGUAAUAUAUUAAUUAGGAGCAACUAAAGGAGUUGGAUAGCCUGCCGCAAACAAGAACAACGCUGCUUAAAACGAACCCUUGAGUUUAUCAACCACCACUGCAAGAAAACGCCCCAUGGAUGAUAACAAUGACCUUCUCCAUCGCAAUGCAAAUGCAAAAGGUCACAAAUGAUAACAUGAUGAAUAGAUAGUUCCUAUUCUUUGAUCGGAAAAGACUUCGUUUUACUUUCUAGGCAAGAACAAUGGAAUCAUUUACUAAUAUGAACUUGCUUGCUUAUUUCUUAUUAACCAAAGCUUAAAUAUCAUAGCAGGAGAAUUAGCUCCCACGUUCCUAGCUUUGCGUCCCAUUAAAGGUGGAAGUUAGAUCCCUUAAAAAAUGCAACAGAAAAUCAAAUGGAAACACCAAUUCCAAAGCAAACAAUAUGAGUUGUGGCCGAAAAUGCUACUCUUCAGCGAAGCCAGGGUUAGGCAUUCGUGGUCGGACCGAACGACAUGGACUUGGAUCCACUAUUGCCUUAUCAUUACAUCGUUACUGUUGGACGUUUUCUAAAACGCCUUAGAUUGGAUUUCCCCUGCUCUUAUAGACUUUGGUGUUGGGUGGGAGUGAAGUCUUGUGGAAGCUUUUCGAGUAGUAACAGCAUGGCUAAAGGUUGCUUCGUCGCCUUCUGCUUUGGCCGCCACUUAGGUGUGAGCGAAGGAACAACUUAAACAUUUCGUCAGCGUUAACCAUUUCGAUUAUGGUGCUUCCGAGAGGCGAAUCACUUGCUGUGCUCCCUCUGUUUAGCAACAAGACCUUUAUCAUUGCUGCUAGCUCAACGUUUUUUCUUUUGUAGCUAAUCUAUAUAUGCUACUUUUUUAGCCAAGUCCUGACUUCCUCCCGCAACAUCGUGGGAGGAAGUCGCUCUUGGUGUUUUGUGUUGGAAGCAGACAUAGGUUUUAGAGUAGUUUUUGUGUGUGAUGGGCGCUUCAAUGUGAGAGCGCGCCUAUGCUCUUGCUCUACAUCCUCGAAUGCAUCCCAUUCAGUUACUUCUACAUGAUCAAAUGCGGGAGGUAGAUGAUGUGCAAUCCCGUCAGCACGAUAUGCCACAGGGUGUUUGUUGAACCGCUUCCGCAUACUCACCACAAUUAUAUUCUCGACCCCGAGGGGUGUUCUCAUUUGCAAGCUACUUAUAUUUUCUUCAAGCGCUUAGUUCCCUACGUGGCACAUAAACUUUUUCGCCAAGAGAAUACCUUGUGGACGGGAGAAUCGAGUUGAUUGUUGAGUGACUGCUCCAAGACGCAUUCAAGUCUUCUAGGCCUGAGCUGGUUAUGGGUCAAGGGGCCAUCAAGUGCAUAAUUAAACAGUGUGAUCAAUGAAAUUAUUCAUUGCUAUGGUGAAAAUGGCACACACAUUUACUUGUUGUUUUCUUAAAAUAUUAUGAAUCUUUUUCGUAUGUCUCCUUCACUAGACAGUCCAGAGAGGAAUUGAGAGCAUUAGAGGCCACAUUUCUUUAUAUUAGAUGAAUGUGAAAAUAAACAAUAAUGUCGAAACCUUGAAACAAAAAGCAUUAGAGGCCACAUCAUGGCCUUAGAUUAAAAGAAUUGAAAGAAGACAUCGACCCUACAUUGUCACAAUUGAUCUUAAUAUUGCUUGUUGUUAGAACUUGGUUUGGAGCUGCUUCACAACACGUUUGUCAACCUGGAAAGCCUUGGCAAGGAUGUCGCUAGAGAUAUCGGGCUUCGCUCCAAAGACAGAGUUGGCAAUAGUGAUGACUCCAGGGUUUUGGCUGCUCAACCCAGCGAUAGCUACCGCGUUUCCGUACCCAACAUUACGUUGGAAGUGAAUCAACCCAAUAGGGAAGACAAACACGUCCCCUUUAUGAAUGAUCUUAGAGAUGAGACGAUUCUCAGGGUUGGAUGUGACAAAUCCGACCUCAAGAGACCCUUCAAUAACCGUGAGAAUCUCGGUGGCACGAGGAUGCGUGUGGGGAGGGUUAAUACCCCAAGGAGCAUAGUCAAUGCGGACUAAUGAAAUCCCAAGAGUGUUCAACCCGGGAAUCUGGGUCACGGAAACAGGGGUGACCCUUGAGCCCACCGCAUUUGACGUGUUGCCGGGGAUGUGAAGUCCGCUAAACGAAAAAUCGCUAGCUUGGACCGUUGCAGGGUUCUUGCAUGGGAAACCGUUGAGCCUUACGCCGGCAUUGGGAUCGGCCACACAGAAAUCCUGGAGAUUGGAAGGAUCCAUGGCAAAGGUGAGACUUGCACAAACAGCAAAAGUUACCAAGGUGAAGAAAGCAGCAAGAUGUGCCAUUGGUUGAAUAACAGAGGGAGUAUGUAUGAACUUUCGGGUGUUAUAGUUUCAAGUGAGGGAUGCUAAGAUUGCGAUUGUAUGGUGUG